UCCUACGGGAGGCAGCAGUGGGGAAUAUUGCACAAUGGGCGAAAGCCUGAUGCAGCAACGCCGCGUGCGGGAUGAAGGCCCUAGGGUUGUAAACCGCUUUCAGCAGGGAAGAAAAUGACGGUACCUGUAGAAGAAGGUGCGGCCAACUACGUACCAGCAGCCGCGGUGACACGUAGGCACCAAGCGUUGUCCGGAUUUAUUGGGCGUAAAGAGCUCGUAGGCGGUUCAGUAAGUCGGGUGUGAAAACUCUGGGCUCAACCCAGAGACGCCACCCGAUACUGCUGUGACUAGAGUGCGGUAGGGGAGCGGGGAAUUCCUAGUGUAGCGGUGAAAUGCGCAGAUAUUAGGAGGAACACCAGUGGCGAAGGCGCCGCUCUGGGCCGUAACUGACGCUGAGGAGCGAAAGCGUGGGUAGCAAACAGGAUUAGAUACCCUGGUAGUCCACGCCGUAAACGUUGGGCACUAGGUGUGGGUCUCAACCAACGAGAUCCGCGCCGUCGCUAACGCAUUAAGUGCCCCGCCUGGGGAGUACGGUCGCAAGGCUAAAACUCA
RNAcentral lists this ribosomal RNA (552 nucleotides) under uncultured bacterium. RNAcentral's name for it is "bacterial SSU rRNA". It matches the Rfam family "Bacterial small subunit ribosomal RNA", at positions 337 to 903 of the family's 1533-position model. The record is from RNAcentral.